CAGAGUUGCAAAACUCCCAAACCAUUGUGAACCUACCUACAACCGUUGCUUCGGCGGGCGGCCCCGGGUCUCCCCGGGCGCCCCUCCGGCCCCUCGCGGGGGCCCGCCGGAGGUACGCAACCCUCUGUAUUUGCAUGGCCUCUCUGAGUCUCUGUACUGAAUAAGUCA
RNAcentral lists this unclassified non-coding RNA (168 nucleotides) under uncultured Retroconis. RNAcentral describes it as "sequence contains ITS1". The record is from RNAcentral. Lineage: Eukaryota; Fungi; Ascomycota.